This 254-nucleotide ribosomal RNA is filed under the name uncultured bacterium. RNAcentral describes it as "partial 16S ribosomal RNA". It matches the Rfam family "Bacterial small subunit ribosomal RNA", at positions 524 to 776 of the family's 1533-position model. The record is from RNAcentral.
UACAGAGGGGGCAAGCGUUGUUCGGAAUUACUGGGCGUAAAGGGCGCGUAGGCGGCCUGCUAAGUCGAACGUGAAAUCCCCGGGCUCAACCCGGGAACUGCGUCCGAUACUGGCAGGCUUGAAUCCGGGAGAGGGAUGCGGAAUUCCAGGUGUAGCGGUGAAAUGCGUAGAUAUCUGGAGGAACACCGGUGGCGAAGGCGGCAUCCUGGACCACGACUGACGCUGAGUGAGCGAAAGCCAGGGGAGCAAACGGG